GAAUUUCCUGAGAACAUCUAACACUCAGAAAAGGAACCAGGGACUGAGCUACAGAUCAUCCAAGGCACAGUGUGAUCCGGUCCCUCCACCUGGGAGCCCCAACCCUCGCACCCACCCCGUCCGCCUCUGAGCACGGUCCAGCCCGACUCUACUCCCCACGCCCUCACCGUUCCCUGCGCUGGGCGGCUCUCCCUCCAGGCCUCCCUGGAGUGGCUCCAUCUCAUCUCAGAGAGAGAGGGGAAAAGAAGGAGAAAGGGAGGAAGAGAAAGAUCAAUGUGUGGUUGCCUCUCCC
Artibeus jamaicensis (Jamaican fruit-eating bat) is the source of this 292-nucleotide long non-coding RNA. RefSeq lists it as uncharacterized. The record is from RefSeq and is a predicted model, not a curated record. NCBI's taxonomy places the organism in Eukaryota, Metazoa, Chordata, Mammalia, Chiroptera, Phyllostomidae. The transcript has 3 exons.